This is a long non-coding RNA of Hippocampus comes (tiger tail seahorse), 484 nucleotides long. RefSeq lists it as uncharacterized. The record is from RefSeq and is a predicted model, not a curated record. The transcript is spliced from 2 exons. Lineage: Eukaryota; Metazoa; Chordata; Actinopteri; Syngnathiformes; Syngnathidae.
CAAUUUGCGUCAUGAAUUAUCUCGCGUUGGCAGGGGGAAUGGUGUCUCUGGUUCGGAAACAUUAUACAACCUAUGAUCAUGCACAUGGGUUUCGUUGAAUAAAUGAGGGGAUGCCGUAUUGCCCGGGUAUGGUUGAGACUUUUCCAAAAUGGGUCGAAAAUUUAUGGCAAUGGAUCACAUUUUGCGAACAGGUUAAUUGAUAAAAUAGAAUGCAUGUUUCACAUUUUAUUUGGGAGACCAUUGCUCCUACCGUCCACAAUCUGCAGGACUGGUAGCAAGUAUGAAAUUAUAUGGUUAAAAUUCAAUUAAAGAAUUUGAAUUGAAAUUGGAUUGGAAUUGAAUUGAUUCAUAUGUUAAUAUUACGAGAAUGGUGUCUUCUUUGUUUGAAAUAUUGUUUGGGAGACCAUAUAAAUUAUUGAUAUUUUCGACACAAUUGUGAACUGGGAAAUGAAGCUAAUUCGGCUGACUAUAUGUGAGUAAGUUU